GAUGAACGCUGGCGGUCUGCUUAACACAUGCAAGUCGAACGGAAUCCUUCGGGAUUUAGUGGCGGACGGGUGAGUAACGCGUGAGAAUCUGCCUUCAGGUUCGGGACAACAGCUGGAAACGGCUGCUAAUACCGGAUGUGCCGAGAGGUGAAAGCUUUAGUGCCUGAAGAUGAGCUCGCGUCUGAUUAGCUAGUAGGAGUGGUAAUGGCACCCCUAGGCGACGAUCAGUAGCUGGUCUGGGAGGAUGAUCAGCCACACUGGGACUGAGACACGGCCCAGACUCCUACGGGAGGCAGCAGUGGGGAAUUUUCCGCAAUGGGCGCGAGCCUGACGGAGCAAGACCGCGUGAGGGAAGAAGGUCUGUGGAUUGUAAACCUCUUUUGAUGGGGAAGAAGACAGUGACGGUACCCAUCGAAUCAGCCUCGGCUAACUCCGUGCCAGCCGCCGCGGUAA
RNAcentral lists this ribosomal RNA (453 nucleotides) under uncultured bacterium. RNAcentral's name for it is "partial 16S ribosomal RNA". It matches the Rfam family "Bacterial small subunit ribosomal RNA", at positions 28 to 523 of the family's 1533-position model. The record is from RNAcentral.